This 805-nucleotide ribosomal RNA is filed under the name human gut metagenome. Its description in RNAcentral is "bacterial SSU rRNA". It matches the Rfam family "Bacterial small subunit ribosomal RNA", at positions 714 to 1520 of the family's 1533-position model. The record is from RNAcentral.
GGCGAAGGGCGCCCCCUGGCAAAGACUGACGUUCAGUGGGAAAGGCUGGGGAGCAAACAGGAUUAGAUACCCCUGGUAGUCCCCGCUGUAAACGAUGUCGACUUGGAGUUUGUUCCCCUGAGGAGUGGCUUCCGGAGCUAACGCGUUAAGUCGACCCCCUGGGGAGUACGGCCGCAAGGUAAAACUCAAAAUGAAUUGACGGGGGCCCGCACAAGCGGUGGAGCAUGUGGUUUAAUUCGAUGCAACGCGAAGAACCUNACCUACUCUUGACAUCCAGAGAACUUAGCAGAGAUGCUUUGGUGCUUUCGGGAACUCUGAGACAGGUGCUGCAUGGCUGUCGUCAGCUCGUGUUGUGAAAUGUUGGGUUAAGUCCCGCAACGAGCGCAACCCUUAUCCUUUGUUGCCAGCGAUUCGGUCGGGAACUCAAAGGAGACUGCCAGUGAUAAACUGGAGGAAGGUGGGGAUGACGUCAAGUCAUCAUGGCCCUUACGAGUAGGGCUACACACGUGCUACAAUGGCAUAUACAAAGAGAAGCGACCUCGCGAGAGCAAGCGGACCUCAUAAAGUAUGUCGUAGUCCGGAUUGGAGUCUGCAACUCGACUCCAUGAAGUCGGAAUCGCUAGUAAUCGUGGAUCAGAAUGCCACGGUGAAUACGUUCCCGGGCCUUGUACACACCGCCCGUCACACCAUGGGAGUGGGUUGCAAAAGAAGUAGGUAGCUUAACCUUCGGGAGGGCGCUUACCACUUUGUGAUUCAUGACUGGGGUGAAGUCGUAACAAGGUAACCGUAGGGGAACCUGCGGUUG